GGUUAAAACGCUCGUAGUUGGAUAUCUGCUAAGCGGGUUCCGGUCCUUCCCAGUGAAGAAUACGCGGAACUCUUCUUGGCAUUUAUUCAGGGAAGGUGUUUGCACUUUGUUGUGUGUCACAUGAUCUGAAUUUUUACUUUGAGGAAAUGAGAGUGUUUCAAGCAGGCUUUCGCCGUGAAUAUGAUAGCAUGGAAUAAUAGCACAGGACCCCUUUCCAAAGCUGUUGGUUUUUGGAACGAAGGUAAUUCAGAAUUAAGGGAUUAGUUGGGGGGUUAUUCGUAUUUAAACCUGGUUCAGGAAGGUGAAAAUUUCUUGGGAAUUUUUUUAAAAGGACCGAACCUAUUGCCGAAGGGCUUUGCCCCGGGAUGGUUUUAUUGAUCAAGAACGAAAGUUAGGGGAUCGAAGACGAUCAGAUACCGUCCUAGUCUUACCCUUAAACUAUGCCGGCUGGAGAUUGGAGUUGUCAGAAUUGUGACAUCUUCAGCAUCCUGAGAGAAAUCGAAGUCUUUGGGUUCCGGGGGGAGUAUGGUCGCAAGGCUGAAACUUAAAGGAAUUGACGGAAGGGCACCACCAGGAGUGGAGCCUGCGGCUUAAUUUGACUCAACACGGGAAAAACUCACCA
RNAcentral lists this ribosomal RNA (622 nucleotides) under uncultured marine eukaryote. RNAcentral's name for it is "bacterial SSU rRNA". It matches the Rfam family "Eukaryotic small subunit ribosomal RNA", at positions 617 to 1220 of the family's 1831-position model. The record is from RNAcentral.